RNAcentral lists this ribosomal RNA (301 nucleotides) under Salmonella enterica subsp. enterica serovar Heidelberg. Its description in RNAcentral is "partial 23S ribosomal RNA". It matches the Rfam family "Bacterial large subunit ribosomal RNA", at positions 520 to 722 of the family's 2925-position model. The record is from RNAcentral. Lineage: Bacteria; Pseudomonadati; Pseudomonadota; Gammaproteobacteria; Enterobacterales; Enterobacteriaceae. RNAcentral also lists the same sequence under 2 other names.
AGAACCCCGGCGAGGGGAGUGAAAAAGAACCUGAAACCGUGUACGUACAAGCAGUGGGAGCCCCACCACUAAGCCAGUGGUGAACUCCACAUACGCAUCCUUUGCUGAGGAUACGGUUAACGGAGCGCAAGCGACGUUCAACCGCAAAAGAAGCAGAGGGGGCUUAGUGGUGGGGUGACUGCGUACCUUUUGUAUAAUGGGUCAGCGACUUAUAUUCUGUAGCAAGGUUAACCGAAUAGGGGAGCCGGAGGGAAACCGAGUCUUAAUUGGGCGUUAAGUUGCAGGGUAUAGACCCGAAACC